Molecule: ribosomal RNA, 253 nt
Filed under: uncultured prokaryote
Description: partial 16S ribosomal RNA
Rfam family: Bacterial small subunit ribosomal RNA
Source: RNAcentral
ACGAACUGUGCAAACGUUAUUCGGAAUCACUGGGCUUACAGGGUGCGUAGGCGGUCUGUUAAGUAGGGUGUGAAAGCCCCCGGCUCAACCGGGGAAUUGCGCCCUAAACUGGCGGACUGGAGUGAGAUAGGGGUGUGCGGAACUUCCGGUGGAGCGGUGAAAUGUGUUGAUAUCGGAAGGAACGCCGGUGGCGAAAGCGGCACACUGGAUCUCAACUGACGCUGAGGCACGAAAGCCAGGGGAGCGAACGGGA